GGGCCUAUGGUCUAGCGGUUAUGACGUCUGCCUUACACGCAGAAGGUCGAGAGUUCGAAUCUCUCUGGGCCCA
This 73-nucleotide transfer RNA is filed under the name Candidatus Parvarchaeota archaeon. RNAcentral's name for it is "tRNA-Val". It matches the Rfam family "tRNA". Rfam says of the family: Transfer RNA (tRNA) molecules are approximately 80 nucleotides in length. Their secondary structure includes four short double-helical elements and three loops (D, anti-codon, and T loops). Further hydrogen bonds mediate the characteristic L-shaped molecular structure. tRNAs have two regions of fundamental functional importance: the anti-codon, which is responsible for specific mRNA codon recognition, and the 3' end, to which the tRNAs corresponding amino acid is attached (by aminoacyl-tRNA synthetases). tRNAs cope with the degeneracy of the genetic code in two manners: having more than one tRNA (with a specific anti-codon) for a particular amino acid; and 'wobble' base-pairing, i.e. permitting non-standard base-pairing at the 3rd anti-codon position. The record is from RNAcentral. Lineage: Archaea; Nanobdellati; Candidatus Parvarchaeota. RNAcentral also lists the same sequence under 1 other name.